This is a long non-coding RNA of Girardinichthys multiradiatus, 1125 nucleotides long. RefSeq lists it as uncharacterized. The transcript is spliced from 4 exons. Lineage: Eukaryota; Metazoa; Chordata; Actinopteri; Cyprinodontiformes; Goodeidae. The record is from RefSeq and is a predicted model, not a curated record.
UUUAAUGCUUUUUAAGUUAAAACAGAUAUUAAUCCAAUUCCUGGUUCUGUGUAAGAAUACAUAUCAAACAUUAUGGUAUAGUAUUUGAAAUCACAGUGUGCUUUUGAUUCAUUGUGAUUAAAUGUUUCUGUCAAAGGUAGAGACAGAGUUCAAAAGGCAGCCAGCCAAGUGGAGGAGCACGGAGCAGAAGAGGAUUGAGGCAGAGGAGCGAUGCAUCAUUAAGUCUGUGAGGCAGCAGCAGCGCAUGGAGGAGACUAGAAUGGAUCGGGCAAGAGAACGGGAAGAAGCCAAGGAACAUCGGCAUCAAAUGCUGUGUGAGAAGAUGGAAGAGGAGAAGAAACAGUGUGAAGAGAUGGAGCACAUCCAUCAGGAUCUUCAUUUAGAGGCAAACAGACAUUGAGGAGAUGGAGUAGAUGAUCAGACAGAGGCUGAUGAUGCAGCAGACCCUCCAGGAGAAGCUGGCAUUUAAAGAGAUGCAGAAGCAGCAGGAAAAAGAGGAAGGGGAGGCCUUCAGAAAAACUACAAUGGCCAAGUUUGAAGAGGACGAUCGGAUCAAGCAGAUGAAUGACCGGAAACAGCGCAUGAAGCAGCUGGAACACUUCUUAAGGAACUUUUCCGUAAAGAUGACCUGCAUCACAUCGAUGAAGAUUUCAGAAAUGUUCUCUGAGUAGGCCAACUGAGGUUUCUCCUUCAGUUGGCCCCUAGAGGGCAGUUUAAGGCUGAUGGGAAUGUGUUUCAGAUUUAUAGACUAUUUUUUUUUUUUUCUCUUCAUUGUACACAGAACUUGCUUAAGUUUGGACAGUUUAGCAGCUUAUAUAUUACAAUAUGUUUAUAGCGACGUGUUUGUUUCAUUAAUAAUUACAUUAAAUACAAAAAUAAAUUUUGUAUUUUUUAACGUGUCCUUAAAUUCUUAAACUACAAACUGAGAUCCUUUACACUAUAGCAGAUGUAUCGUUACAAAGCAUCUGCACACAGAACCCUGAAUUAGGCCAAACAAAAAGCAGCACAGAUGAACACAGUAAAAUAAAGCUGAUUACUCUUCAUCUGUUGACUGUAGAUUCUUGAAACCCACAAGUUCUGGUUCUUGAGAAUUUGGUUUUAAGAGAAAAGAUCCUCUUCACUUAU